Molecule: transfer RNA, 72 nt
Filed under: Firmicutes bacterium ML8_F2
Lineage: Bacteria; Bacillati; Bacillota
Description: tRNA-Val
Rfam family: tRNA
About the family: Transfer RNA (tRNA) molecules are approximately 80 nucleotides in length. Their secondary structure includes four short double-helical elements and three loops (D, anti-codon, and T loops).
Source: RNAcentral
GGGCGGUUAGCUCAGCGGCAGAGCAUUGCAUUCACAUUGCAAGGGUCAUCCGUUCAAAUCGGAUACCGCCCA